Molecule: ribosomal RNA, 478 nt
Filed under: Busseola sp. BUKEG3713
Lineage: Eukaryota; Metazoa; Arthropoda; Insecta; Lepidoptera; Noctuidae
Description: partial 16S large subunit ribosomal RNA
Source: RNAcentral
UGUCUUUUUGAAAAUAAUAUAAAGUCUAAUCUGCCCACUGAUUUGAUAUUAAAGGGCUGCAGUAUAUUGACUGUACAAAGGUAGCAUAAUCAUUAGUCAUUUAAUUGGUGACUUGUAUGAAGGAUUGGAUGAAAUAUAAACUGUCUCUUAAUUAAAGAUAGAAUUUAAUUUUUUAAUUAAAAAGUUAAAAUAAUUUAAAAAGACGAGAAGACCCUAUAGAGUUUUAUAGAUAAUUUAAUUAAGAUUAUUUAUAAAAAUUAAAAUUGAAAUUAAUUUAUUUAUUAUAUUGGGGUGAUAAAAAAAUAAAUUUAACUUUUUUUUUUCUAUAAGACAUUUAUAAGUGGUUAAAUGAUCCAGUAAUAUUGAUUAUAAGAAAAAAUUACCUUAGGGAUAACAGCGUAAUUUUUUUUUUUAGUUCGUAUAAGAAAAAGAGUUUGCGACCUCGAUGUUGAAUUAAGAUAAAAUUUAAAUGUAGAAG